This 74-nucleotide transfer RNA is filed under the name Candidatus Omnitrophota bacterium. Its description in RNAcentral is "tRNA-Ile". It matches the Rfam family "tRNA". From Rfam's summary of the family: Transfer RNA (tRNA) molecules are approximately 80 nucleotides in length. Their secondary structure includes four short double-helical elements and three loops (D, anti-codon, and T loops). Further hydrogen bonds mediate the characteristic L-shaped molecular structure. tRNAs have two regions of fundamental functional importance: the anti-codon, which is responsible for specific mRNA codon recognition, and the 3' end, to which the tRNAs corresponding amino acid is attached (by aminoacyl-tRNA synthetases). tRNAs cope with the degeneracy of the genetic code in two manners: having more than one tRNA (with a specific anti-codon) for a particular amino acid; and 'wobble' base-pairing, i.e. permitting non-standard base-pairing at the 3rd anti-codon position. Lineage: Bacteria; Pseudomonadati; Candidatus Omnitrophota. The record is from RNAcentral.
GGGCCUUUAGCUCAGUCGGUUAGAGCAGUUGACUCAUAAUCAAUUGGUCCCUGGUUCGAGCCCAGGAAGGCCCA